UUACAUUAUAUUCCUUUCUGUCGCUUCCUUUUCCAUUCUUUUGUUUCAACAGGAUUAUUAUAGGAUCAGGCCAUGUUGCUCAUAGGUGAUUUUUCCCUUGAAUUACACACAAGCUUCUGUUUUGGCAACUCCAAAGGUGAUGAUUUCAGCUUAAUCUUCCAAAGAGGUUAGAGUUGAUACUUGUUGGAUCACCAAAAGUACUACCCAAGUGUCAGUGUCAGCAUCAUCCUUCAACCUCUCCGCCGACGAAGGUGCGUCCUUCUUCUCAAACAGUGCAUGUAUGUAGUUGGCGCACAUUAAAUCCGUCACUGUAUCGUGAUGGAGAGAGAGAUCGUCUUCACACUGUAGCAGCACUUCCAUGCCUGUGCGACAUUAAUUGUCUGCCCGGUCAAACUGCUGCGGUAUCAGGGUUCUCUCAGGGUUCAGGUUUUGUUGGCAAUCCAUCGGUCGGCGAUGGGGAUCCGUCGUCUGGUGUGGUUGAAAAAUCCUGAACCCUGCCUCGGCCGGCGCAGGAAGUGAGGUCAAAUGCUUCCCCUUGGAUUUUAAUGGGUGCAAGGGGCGGGGGGACCGCCGUGGUCGGUCUGCCGCUGCAACUCACGAGAGCACUUGGUCAACUUUUCUUUUGGAAUCUAAGCAGCAGCCGAUUGGCACAACAUGGGAGGUCUCAACGUGGGGCAGUCAAGUCAAAUCGGGUCAACCACUUCCUUUGUCUUUGGUGCCCACACCUGCGCCGAAAGGACUGUGUGGAUGCGUUGGGGAGGACGACGGUAGGCAGCGGGCAGUUCCCAAUAAAUUCCACUCUUCGCUGUCCCAUCACCUCACGGGGGUCAAUACUUGCAUGUGUGUCGUGCCGUACCGGGAGCCAGCAAAGUCAACAGAUGGGAGCCUGUCGCUGUGGCCCCGCCCCUCCUCCUCUUGCUAUUUCACAAUCGGCGCUUUGGUCGCUUCUCUCGUCUUCCCCAAAUCGAUUCUUUUUUGCUUCAAGAGGGACAUAAAGAUCCGAUCUUUGCGCUCGUCGUCGCCACCAAAUCUUGGAUAAAGGUUUGAUCUUGGCGGACGAUUUCGCGGAAUCGGUGGGGGUUCUCUUUUGGGAUCGAGGGUUUUAGCGGUGUGACCGUCUUCGAAAUCGCAUACUGCGGGAUUGGUAUGGAUGAGCACUUCAGGAUUUAGCUGGUGGGAGUAUAUCUGGGGAUUCUUAUGGACAAGUUAUGCUGCUUCAGUGGUUCCUGCUCUCAGCUUGCAGGUCAUUCUUCAAAUGAUGCUGGUAAAGGAAAAAGUUCUCUGAGUGGUGUAAAAAUUACUUAUGGUUUUAGUCUUGUAAAGGGGAGGGCUAAUCAUCCAAUGGAAGAUUAUCAUGUUGCAAAGUUCAUCCAGAUAAGGGGGCAGGAGCUUGGUCUCUUUGCUAUAUUUGAUGGUCAUUUGGGUGAUGAUGUACCUGCCUAUUUACAGAAGCAUCUGUUUACUAACAUUCUUAAAGAGGAAGAUUUUUGGAAUGAUCCAGGAGGAGCAAUUUUCAAAGCCUAUGGAAAGACUGACAAGGCAAUUUUGUCACAAAGUCCCGAUCUAGGACAAGGUGGAUCGACAGCUGUUACUGCAAUUCUCAUGAAUGGAAGGAGAUUGUGGAUUGCUAACAUUGGUGAUUCACGAGCUGUUCUUGCAAAAGGUAGAGAGGUUAUACAAUUGACUGUUGAUCAUGAACCCAGCACUGAACGUGGAAGUAUCGAGAAUAGAGGUGGAUUUGUCUCGAACAUGCCAGCUAGCUUAAGCUUUGACGGUGGACAGUAAAGUCUUUAGAUCAAGUUUCAUCUUCACCCCUUAUCCUUUGCCCAAAAAAGAAAGAAGGUAAACAUGUAAUAUAUUCUUCAUGAUGUUAUCAUUUGUAUCUGAAACAAGGAUCCAUAUCAGUUGAGACAAAUGCUGAUUGUUAUAAUAUUAUGAUAUCAGGAGACGUUCCCAGAGUUAAUGGUCAAUUGGCUGUUUCCCGUGCUUUUGGAGACAAGAGCCUCAAAUCCCAUUUGAGCUCAGAUCCCGAUAUACGCUUUGAAGAUGUGACUGCUGAUUGUGAUCUACUCAUCCUUGCAAGUGAUGGCCUGUGGAAGGUCAUGGGCAAUGAAGAUGCAGUCGAUAUUGCUAGAAAGGCUAAGGAUCCACAAGCAGCAGCUAGGCUUUUGACAGCUGAAGCAGUGAAUAAAGCUAGCAAAGAUGACAUCUCUUGCAUUGUUGUCCAACUAAGGGCACAGAGGUGUGAUGGUUAUGGACGACCUUGAGGAAGUCAUCAAUAGACACAUGCAGGAUGGCAUAAACCUCGAGCUGGAUGUGCGCAAUGGUGCAGUCUGUCAUUGCCUACCAGAUGGUAGGAACUAAAUUAGAUCUCUUGUGCGGUUCGAUUCUUCUGUAAAUUGCUUCUUCCUUCAUUAGGGUUUGGCGAGUGUGGUAUUGUUUGAUUUCUUCGGCACAUUAGUUAAUGAAAGUUUCUCUAUGUGUUUGUUGGCACGGAAACUGAGUUCUCAAGAUUGGUUAGAUGGCUUUGCCUUCUAUUUCUUGGCUACUUGUUAACACUGGAAGCUGGAUCAUGCUUUGCCUUUUCGUUAUAUGCUUAAAAAUGAUUGAAUUUUCUAUU
Non-coding RNA from Musa acuminata subsp. malaccensis (wild Malaysian banana), 2620 nucleotides. The record is from RefSeq and is a predicted model, not a curated record. Lineage: Eukaryota; Viridiplantae; Streptophyta; Magnoliopsida; Zingiberales; Musaceae.